RNAcentral lists this ribosomal RNA (265 nucleotides) under uncultured archaeon. RNAcentral's name for it is "partial 16S ribosomal RNA". It matches the Rfam family "Archaeal small subunit ribosomal RNA", at positions 717 to 982 of the family's 1478-position model. The record is from RNAcentral.
AGACGUCUACAUUAGAUACCCGGGUAGUCCCAGCCGUAAACUAUGCGCGUUAGGUGUAUCGGUGACCACGAGUCACCGAGGUGCCGAAGGGAAACCGUGAAACGUGCCGCCUGGGAAGUACGGUCGCAAGGCUGAAACUUAAAGGAAUUGGCGGGGAGCACCACAACGGGUGGAGCCUGCGGUUUAAUUGGACUCAACGCCGGGAAGCUCACCGGAUAAGACAGCGGAAUGAUUGCCGGGCUGAAGACUCUGCAUGACUAGUCUG